GGUCCCGCCUGCCCAGUGACUCUUUUAACGGCCGCGGUAUCCUAACCGUGCAAAGGUAGCAUAAUCACUUGUCCCCUAAAUCGGGACUAGAAUGAACGGCUAAAUGAGGACUAAACUGUCUCUUACAGAUUGGCCAAUGAAAUUGAUUUCCCAGUACAAAAGCUGGAAUAUACCCAUAAGACGAGAAGACCCUGUGGAGCUUCAAAACCAAACCACUUAGUAUGUCCCUUGGUUUUUUAGUUGGGGCGACUUCGGAAUACAACAAAACUUCCAAAAUAAAAUUAACUCAUUAAGGUUAACACACCAAAAUCUCCACACAGACCCAGCAAUUAAUUUGUCUGACCAAUGAACCAAGUUACCCCAGGGAUAACAGCGCAAUCUCCUUUUAGAGUCCAUAUCGACAAGGGG
This 408-nucleotide ribosomal RNA is filed under the name Lacerta trilineata. RNAcentral describes it as "partial 16S ribosomal RNA". It matches the Rfam family "Bacterial large subunit ribosomal RNA", at positions 1851 to 2515 of the family's 2925-position model. The record is from RNAcentral. Lineage: Eukaryota; Metazoa; Chordata; Lepidosauria; Squamata; Lacertidae.